Molecule: ribosomal RNA, 618 nt
Filed under: Triticum aestivum (bread wheat)
Lineage: Eukaryota; Viridiplantae; Streptophyta; Magnoliopsida; Poales; Poaceae
Description: partial small subunit ribosomal RNA
Source: RNAcentral
AUGCCUAGCCUGAGGGACAGCAGCUCCUCGGUCAUCAUCCUCGACCUCGCGUCCAAGAUGAAGAUCGGCAACCUCAAGAAGGCGGCGGCGAUGUGCAAGAGCAAGACCGGCGUGCUCGCGGGCAGGCUCCUCGUCCUCACCUCGCUCCGCCGCAGGAUGGCCACCGUCGGCGCCAUCUCGCACAGGAUCCACGCGCUCAUGGUGGCCACCGAAUCGGGUAAGGACCUCGACAAGGCCCUCGGGCCGCGCAAGGCCAAGGCCGGCGGUGGCAAGCCGGCCGUCCUCGUCCAUCGUAACGCCACUGAUAUCUCUGAUCAGUUGGCGCUGUUCCAUCAAGAGGAUGGCGGCGACGGCGACGGCCCUGACUGGUCGGUGCACUCCAUCUUCGACGACGAGAAUUGUUGCUACGCCGACGAGUACGAGGGCGACGACGAUGAUGACAGCGCGCUACUCGAUGUGUGCGAUGAUAAGCAUGAUACCAGCGAGCCGUCGGUCAUGGACGUGAUCAGGAGCAACCGGAGGGUCGAGGGUUUGGAGUUCAACGUGGACGACGAGAUCGACCAGGCCGCCGGCAUGUUCAUCACUAGGUUCCGGAACCGGAUGAACGGGAGCAUAUAG